RNAcentral lists this long non-coding RNA (1518 nucleotides) under Homo sapiens (human). RNAcentral's name for it is "HSALNT0360343". The record is from RNAcentral. Lineage: Eukaryota; Metazoa; Chordata; Mammalia; Primates; Hominidae.
AUCAGCGUUGCUGAAAGCAGCUGUCCAGGUCUCUUGUCGCUUAAAUUCCACUUCUCCUUGGAGCGGGGAUGAAGUCUGAGAUCUCGAAUGUGGCCUCUGAGGCCCCAUAAGAUCAGGCCCUGCUUUGUGUCCUGAUGCCAAGGUCCUCAAUGCUGAGAGCCCUGAGCCCAAGACAAGGUGUGGUGCACACAGACCUUGCCUGGAUCUUUUCGAAACCAGUGGUGGAUGGCCAAGAUUCAUUUCCACUUAUUUCCCAUGCAAAAGGCAAAGUUGUCAGCUGUUUGGUGAAUAUGUCAGAGCUCUGGCCUAGAAGAAUCUCCUGGAACCCUGGCUGCCUGGAGAUAGUAAGAGGCACCAAAGGAAAAAUCAGGAAAAGCACAACCAGGAGUAAAUGAUCAUCUUCACCAGCCACACACAGCUUCCUGACCCAAAGCUCUCCCUUCCUUCACCUGGCUGAGGAGGGAAGGGCUUUCUUCACUCAACACUGAUCCAGGGAGGCUGUGAGUGCCAAAAGGACAAGCCACUUGCUGACUUUUGCCUGAGGGUGAGAGUAGCCAGAAUAAGAAGGGAUGUGGGGACAUUGUUAGAGGAAAAGAGUUAAACAGGCAGAAGUUCUGGAGGGGAGAAAGUGUAGAGAGGUGUUGGGGCGGGGGGUUCCCUACCAGUAGAGGGAAGGCCUCUGAGAUGACAUCUUGAAGGCUGGUUGAUGAUACCUUUCUCUGUGCUAUAAAUGGAGAUAAGACAGACCAAACACCCAACCAGUAGUGUAGGUUUGGAUGAAUGACUGUAGUCAUUAAAUAACAAUCUGUUUGAAAUUUCUGUGUGGAAGCCUGCAUGUGUGUGCAUGUGCUUUGGAAAGUGUGAAACAGACAGUCAUAACAUGCAGGGGAAGAGUGUCCACAUCCAUAGAGACAUCUUCAGAGAGUCUACAGCUAUGAGGAGACACAUGCACAGAUGCCUCCCAGUGCUGAGAUGCUCCCAUGGACCAAAGGUGUGGGACUUAUCACAGGGAUAACACUAUCAUAAACCAGCAUCGUGCCCUGGCCCCCACAGCCCCUGCAAUACAUCUCCUAUCUCCUGUCUCACUCCUCCACCUUUGUACAGGCUGCUUCUUCUGUCUUAAACGUUUUGCUAACCCCAUCGUGUCCUUCAAAGCUCAGAUUGGGGUUUCUUCUUACAGGAAGCCAUCUUUGGUCAUCACUUCCUUCCCUACCCCCAGGCCUAUCCCCCAGUGUCCUGAGCAUAGCUGACCACAUGGACUUCAAGUUAUCUAUUUCUCUUCCUCUUCUGCUAGACUGUCGACUUGAGUACAGGUAUAGUAGUCCCUCUAUCUGUGGUUUUGCUUUCCAUGGUUUCAGUUACCUGCAGUCAACCAUGGUCUGAAAAUACUAAGUGGAAAAUUCCAGAAAUAAGCAAUUCAUAAGCUUUAAAGUGCAUGCUGUUCUGACUCGGCUCACUGCAACCUCCACCUCCUGGGUUCCAGUGAUUCUUCUGUCUCAGCAUCCCAAGUAGCUGCAA